This 113-nucleotide ribosomal RNA is filed under the name Periophthalmus magnuspinnatus. The record is from RNAcentral. Lineage: Eukaryota; Metazoa; Chordata; Actinopteri; Gobiiformes; Gobiidae.
UUUUGUGGCCAUACUGGCUUGCCAAAGCCUCGUCAGGUCUCUGAAGCUAAACAAGGUCAGGCCUGGUUAGUACUUGGAUGAAAGUCUGCUGGGAAAAUCGGGUGCCACAGAGG